GCUUGCGUAGCUCAGUUGGUAGAGCAACUUCCUUGGUAAGGAAGAGGUCACCGGUUCAAUCCCGGUCGCAAGCU
This 74-nucleotide transfer RNA is filed under the name Ignavibacterium sp. RNAcentral's name for it is "tRNA-Thr". It matches the Rfam family "tRNA". Rfam says of the family: Transfer RNA (tRNA) molecules are approximately 80 nucleotides in length. Their secondary structure includes four short double-helical elements and three loops (D, anti-codon, and T loops). Further hydrogen bonds mediate the characteristic L-shaped molecular structure. tRNAs have two regions of fundamental functional importance: the anti-codon, which is responsible for specific mRNA codon recognition, and the 3' end, to which the tRNAs corresponding amino acid is attached (by aminoacyl-tRNA synthetases). tRNAs cope with the degeneracy of the genetic code in two manners: having more than one tRNA (with a specific anti-codon) for a particular amino acid; and 'wobble' base-pairing, i.e. permitting non-standard base-pairing at the 3rd anti-codon position. Lineage: Bacteria; Pseudomonadati; Ignavibacteriota; Ignavibacteria; Ignavibacteriales; Ignavibacteriaceae. The record is from RNAcentral.